GUGAACGCUGGCGGUAGGCCUAACACAUGCAAGUCGAACGGCAGCACAGUAAGAGCUUGCUCUUACGGGUGGCGAGUGGCGGACGGGUGGGGAAUACAUUGGAAUCUACUUUUUCGUGGGGGAUAACGUAGGGAAACUUACGCUAAUACCGCAUACGACCUACGGGUGAAAGCAGGGGAUCUUCGGACCUUGCGCGAUUGAAUGAGCCGAUGUCGGAUUAGCUAGUUGGCGGGGUAAAGGCCCACCAAGGCGACGAUCCGUAGCUGGUCUGAGAGGAUGAUCAGCCACACUGGAACUGAGACACGGUCCAGACUCCUACGGGAGGCAGCAGUGGGGAAUAUUGGACAAUGGGCGCAAGCCUGAUCCAGCCAUACCGCGUGGGUGAAGAAGGCCUUCGGGUUGUAAAGCCCUUUUGUUGGGAAAGAAAGGCAGCAGGUUAAUACCCCGCUGUUCUGACGGUACCCAAAGAAUAAGCACCGGCUAACUUCGUG
RNAcentral lists this ribosomal RNA (491 nucleotides) under uncultured bacterium. RNAcentral's name for it is "partial 16S ribosomal RNA". It matches the Rfam family "Bacterial small subunit ribosomal RNA", at positions 29 to 507 of the family's 1533-position model. The record is from RNAcentral.